ACGGUGGGCGCCGGACCCCGCCUCCCAGACCUGCCUCCCAAUUUUCGAUGAGUGGUGUAGCCCUGGGCGGCGUGCAAAGUGUGCGACGGCGCGCUUACCCCUGCUGCGCGCCUCCUUACCUCCAGCUUCCCGGUUAGCGCACGCCACGCGGGGACGGCCACCCACCCCUCCCUGCCGGCGGCGCGUGCCAGUGGAGGUACACUUCUACCUACUCCCCCACCCCGCCUCUCUUUAUGGAUCUGAAGGACAACAGAGAGCAACUCAGAAUCACCAGAGAACACUUGGAACUGACAACAGGAAGCAAAGUCUGCCCGCCAGACCCUCACAGCCGGUUACCUCGCCUCACUGCGGGCCUUGGACUUUUCUCGAACUCUGCUGAAAAGCUGCUGUGCUGGCCUGCGCCUCCUCACAUCCAGAUACGCCAGGCCCUAAUCACACUUUGGAUAAGCCCUCCUCUCCUUCCACAUGAAAAUACCACCGUCUUUCGACAAAAGCUCAAAGGAACCACUGUCACCUAAACGAGAGCCGGUAAAAAUAUUGACCCUGAAGACCCGAAUGUCCUCGUUAGCUACUUGGACAGUAAGGCCUUGCUGUCAAUGAUUCUUUGCCUGUUUAAAGAAAUCACGACUCAGUCAUUCACCAACUAGAUUAGAAACUAGUUGAAGACACGGCCCUAGUUUUCUGUUUUUAUUAAAUAAAAACCUCUUGGUUUGA
This is a long non-coding RNA of Camelus dromedarius (Arabian camel), 714 nucleotides long. RefSeq lists it as uncharacterized. Lineage: Eukaryota; Metazoa; Chordata; Mammalia; Artiodactyla; Camelidae. The record is from RefSeq and is a predicted model, not a curated record. The transcript has 2 exons.